UAGGGAAUCUUCGGCAAUGGACGAAAGUCUGACCGAGCAACGCCGCGUGAGUGAAGAAGGUUUUCGGAUCGUAAAACUCUGUUGUUAGAGAAGAACAAGGACGUUAGUAACUGAACGUCCCCUGACGGUAUCUAACCAGAAAGCCACGGCUAACUACGUGCCAGCAGCCGCGGUAAUACGUAGGUGGCAAGCGUUGUCCGGAUUUAUUGGGCGUAAAGCGAGCGCAGGCGGUUUCUUAAGUCUGAUGUGAAAGCCCCCGGAUCAACCGGGGAGGGUCAUUGGAAACUGGGAGACUUGAGUGCAGAAGAGGAGAGUAGAAUUCCAUGUGUAGCGGUGAAAUGCGUAGAUAUAAGGAGGAACACCAGUGGCGAAGGCGGCUCUCUGGUCUGUAACUGACGCUGAGGCUAGAAAGCGUGGGGAGCGAACAGG
Molecule: ribosomal RNA, 429 nt
Filed under: Gemmatimonadota bacterium
Lineage: Bacteria; Pseudomonadati; Gemmatimonadota
Description: Gemmatimonadetes bacterium partial 16S ribosomal RNA
Rfam family: Bacterial small subunit ribosomal RNA
Source: RNAcentral